UUUCUCUCUUUCUUGGCUUUCUGUUUUACUUCUCCUUGUCUUCCUCACUGAACAGAUACCACAGUAGAGUAUGACUCUAAGCUAUGAUGAAGACUGCAAUUAGUAAUUUUAUAUGCAAGGAGAAACAUCUCAAAAGAACAAAAGAACAACAGGAUAAUUUAUUUUCUGUCAUAUACACGGGCAUGUAUAUGACAAUGACAUACUUCAAGAUGAACCAGAUAUUUCCUGCUAAAAAUGACCAAUUCCACAUUCCUACAAUUCAGUAUCAUAUUCUGUAGGUGUUCCAGACAGAUUAUGCCAAUGAAACUCUGGAGGCAAGAGUAUUUUUAUGUCUUUCUUGCACAGUCUAUUUCAUUCCAGAGAUAUAACAGCAAGAAUACUUUCUCUUGAAAUCCUAAUAAAUACACCAUUUUUAGAUAUAGUUUGAUUUCAUGCUGUCUUGAAAAAGUGAUUGACUUCGAUUUUUGAAACCCUGCACACAGCAUAAAUAGUGCAAAGCCACCUUUCCCAUUCGUAGAGUAUUAUUAUUGGAAACUUGGAAAGUUUUAUUUCUAUUUAAUCUUCUGCUUCAUGCCUCCGCUGAUACUGAAAUCAUUAUCAAGUGUCAUCUUGAUGUGUUACCUCAUGCAGUGAAUUACUGAAGUCAACUGAAGAGCAACAAACAGAAUGAAGACCAAUCUGCUUGCAGACCUGUAUAGCUUCACUGAUGUCAAUACUAUUAGACUUAUCUAUGUCCAACUUCAGUUCAACAUAGAAUAGACCUUUACUUAGUUUGUUAGCAGAAUACACAUUUAAAUUCUCAGCCUGUUCCAAUGUCAACUUUAGUCAACGUAAGUCUGCACUAACCUCAAGAGUGUUUAGACCAUAUCCCAGUUCUUGAUUAUGGAAUAGAAAUGGGUUUAUUACUAUUGUUAUUAUUAUUAUUAUUAUGGAUAAUAGAUACAAGAUGAAUACAAGACAGUAAAAUGGGUAACUAUCUAAACAACAACUGCAUCAUUGGAUUGGAACAUUCUGGCUGAAGCUGGAGCAGGCAUAUGUGGUUGUCAGGAGAGACAGAGGGGGAAUUGUCUCUUUUAUCCUUGUUUUGUGAUUGUUUUUCCUUUUGUAAUCAGAUUUCUUUUAACCUGAUUUUGAAACUUUAAAUAUCUAACAUAAAUUGAUUUGAAUUUAUAUCCACUAAGAAUCUGACCUAGAGGUUUUGGACAUUUAUGCUAAGAAGUAAAAUAGUUUAUUCCCUGAUUUACAGUGCAAAGCGUGGCUAUGGGUUGUACCAAUUCCCCAGGACCCUGAGCUUCUUACUUUACCACUCACAAACACCUGGAACAUUACAUCAGUGGCUUACUGGUUUCCAGACACUGGAUUUUCACCCUUGGUGAUCAUCUUGGCAACUGUGAGAGCUGGGUGUGACUCACCUAUUCAGAAAACACGGCAUUAAGUGAAAAGAAAAUAAUGACUGUAAAGAAUUUAUCUGCAGUAUUAUUUCCUAUUAUACAUUUUGCUAUUGCUUUGAAUUUUUCUCUUCCAGGUCUUAACUAACCUUGCGAGUCCAUAAUCAAUGAAAAGCAGGACUGGACAUGCAGAUUCAUACAACUGUCCUGACCAAAAAUCACAUAAUCACUCAGAUGUUUGCUGAAUGAAAGAGCAUACAAAUGCUCUAUAAUCUCAUAGUACCCUUUCGCAAAUUGCUCAACAAGUUGACUACCUGAUGUAGGAAGAAUAAUUUCCUCUGCUAUUUUGUUCUGUAUCCAGCUCUCACAAGCUUCAUUUGAAGACCCACAGUUCUUGUAGCAGGAAACGCAGCUCAUAGUUAAUUCCUCUUCACCAUCUCAAUGCCAAUCAUGAUUUUUAAGGAUCAUUAUAACACAAAAAAUAUUAUUUUUUCAAACUGAGAAGUCACAGCCUGCUCAUUUGCUCUUUGUACGGAUGUUUCCCAUUUCAAUUUAUCCUCCUUGCUUUUCUUGGAAUAUUUGCUAUUUCUAAUUUAACUUCUCUCAGAUAGAGGAUUAAAACUGCAUAGCUUUUGAGAUGUGGGCAAACUGUGGAUUCAGAUAGUGGUAUAAUUAUCUUGUCUAUUCUGCUUUCCAUUUUCCUACUAAUUCCUAACAUUUUAUUUAUGCUUUUUGUUGUUCUUUUUGACUGCUACUGAACAAUAAGCUGAUGGGUUCAUUGAAUAAUUUCACUUCUGAGCAUUAACACUGAGCUUAGAGCCCAUCAUUAAAGACGUGACAUUAGGACUACUUUAGUGCUUAUCAAUUUACAUUUUUCUGUACUGAAAGCCACUGUGAUCUAUCUAGGCAUUCAGUUUUGUAAACUGUGCAGUUCUUCACAGACAGCUCAUUUACAAAUAAGCUACCAAGAACCAUUUCCCACCCAGUUGUUCUCCUGGUGAACAUUGCGUGACUAUCCGUGACUAUAUUUCUUAUCAAAUAUGCGUUGUUUGUAGAGUAUAGAGAGAUGCAUUAUCUGUUCCUACAGAGGAGGAAGUCUUCAACCUAGAUCCAUAACUGAAGAAUUUAAGUAUUUUGUGUCAUAUGUUGCCAAGACCUAAGUCAUGCUGGAGUGCAUCCAUGGGACAGCUUAGACAGGCAGUGUGAUACAAGUGCUGUUCUAUAGAUUAUGGAAACAUGGACUGUUUUCUUCUGGGAUAUUUGCAGGAUGAUUUCUGUAGUAUUCAAAUGUUCCUUCAGCAAUUCAGAAUAACUUAAUGUUCCUUUAAAAGUACAUGGAACAUUAGAAAAGUUCUGGAAGAAGCUUGGCCUGUUCCUGUUUCACUAAGAUUCUUUCAGUUUAAGUGGAUUAUCAUAAAGCAGUAUUGACAAUUGCCGAGGCAAUUGCACACGGUACAGCUCUCUCCAUCAGCUGAGCAGAGAUAAUUAGAUUGAAAACCUGGCUGCAUUAGUUUAAUCCAAUACAGUACCAAAAUGUACAAUCAGUGAUACAUCGUAUCAUCUCAGCACUAUGUCAAAUCAAUACCUGUUCUCAGCAAAAAAAAUGUGCAAGUUAUGCUGGAGAUAUGACUAAUGGGAAUGUUUUUUGGAUCGUGUGUUUGCACUGCAAGGAGUGAUGACAGUUGGUUUCAUCUGGAGUAAUUACAGCUCAGUGGCUUCUAGUUGGGUAAUUACUCAGAGGAAAUUCUCUGAGGGUAGGGAAGCAGAUCUCAGUUUUGUGCUGAAAACAUAUCUAAUAUAAAUUCCUUACAUAUUGAAGAAAAAAUAUCCUCUCCCAACAGGAAGGCAAUGAAAACAGAGUAACAGAAAGACGUAUUUAUUCAGGACCCAAAGAAAGUCGUGUUUAGUAGGUGAUUUUUUUUUUUUUUUUUUUUUCCUGAAUCUUACAGUGUCAGUUUUGGUCAUCACAAUGCCAUGAGUUUCUGGAACAGAUUAAAGAGAGCAGGAAAGUGAUUUUGACAAAGCACUCUGUCAUCUGCAUUACUAAUGCACCAUGUCUCAGAAGGAGCAAAGUAUUAUGUACUUCAUAAAGUAUGCAUACAGUGAAUGCAAUUUAUGAUACAUACUUCAUGAAACAUUGUGAAAAUGUUGUAUCUUGAAAUUAUCUUAGAAUGGUUCUGACCUCCAGGAAGGCCUUUGUAAGCAGAAUGAAUGUGUUAAUUCAACAAUGUGCCUAGACUAUGAAUUCAGGACAUUCUCCGGGAGAGCAAGGAGGUAUUUUACAUUUGAUACCUAAGAGUGCAGUUCCAGAAAGCAAUUGAGUAGGGACAGGAUGUUAUGUACUGGAGCUGUAUUUGAUAAAAUGUUCCCUAUUCUCAAAGCAUUCCUGCUAUUGGAGUAAGGAGCCAAGGAAAGGGGAAUCUUGACAGGAGAAAGUCUGAGUCAAGAGGUGUUGCCAAGGCUCUUCUAUUAGAUUAGAAAGACUACCUUCUGUUUCAUUCUUCUGUUACAAGGAUAACCUGAAGCCUUGAAGUCAGUCUAUCAAACCUUUUGCAGAACUUCUUGGCAAUAAAGCCUUGUUGGCACUGUAGAAUUCUACUUGUAAAAAUCUGGUCUUUAAAUGAAUACUAUCUACAAAUCUUAUAAAACAUAUAUUCCUUCUUCUUCUGUAUUCCCAAGCCUGCCUUUAAAUAAAUUCAUAACUGUGGCACAGCGUGAUGACUUUUGCUGUUUUGUCUCCUUAUAACCUAGAUGAGUGUCAGUUUGCAAGGAAAAAAGAAAGCCAUCUUUCAGUGAGAUCCAUCAAUAGCUUUGUAAAAAUGAAAUGCUUGACACAAGAGACAUUAGUGUGUUUUAUUGUGAAAUUUUAGUGCCUUCUGUGUGCAUAGUAGGAUUCUGAAACACCAGUUUUCUGACAGAAGUUGGAAGUUUCCAGGUGGGAAUGAUAGCAUGGGCUUAUUGCAAAUUCUAAUUCAGGCUUGGUGGAGGACUCAAGGCCUUCUGAAUUACUGAAUUAAACUUGUUUUUGAUGAAACUUUAUUUCAUAACAUUUUACAUCUCUGUAUUGCCAUUUUCAGAACAGUUAAGUCUACCUUGAGGAAUUACUGUUAGGAUUACUCUAUGUAUUCAAACUUCUAGUAAAUAGAGAACAUUUUAUCACAGAUCUUUAUUAUAACUAAAUAAUAUCUGUAUGAAUACAGUAUCUAAUGUCUGGAUCAGCACAGAGUGAGCAGAUUAGGUCUGAGCCUAAAUACCAUAGCAUAUUUCAUUGGCUGAGCUACCUCUUUACAGUGAUUGUAAUUUUAGCAAUGAUGGCAGUAGUAAUCACAACAUACUCCCUAAACAGAAAGAGCUUUGCAAUUUCCCAAGUGAAUGGAAAAAUAAUUUUGUAGGAUCAGUAAAGAUAGCAAUAAUUGUUACAGGAUUUAUUGCAAUUUAUGUGAAGAACCUCAGUUGCUCAUGGUAUACUGUCAGAAGUACAAUACCAUGAAAGUGGAGGCCAUAAUAAGCCUAAGCGUAGCAUAGUUUAAAAGACCAACUUUUUGUUGCUAAUGAAAACAAGAGCUUAUAAAGGGGUGAAGUGACUUCUUUAGAAGCAACAAUGAUCCCAGUGCUGCAAUGCCAUGUCACUUCUUCAAGACAAGAAUGUGAACAUUUUCCAAGAGUUACUCAGAGCUAAGUUGUUACUGGUAAGUGGAAAAAGCUUCCUUCUCCCCCCAGAUUAAGAAGGUCACUGAUAUCCCAACACAGAGAGACAGUAAAAUACUUCAGUUAGGCAGUUCUUUAGUCUAUUACCUGCUUGCUUACUUUGAAGACAACAUGAAAUUGUAUCGGGAGUGUUGGAAGAAACCAGCCUUCCUAAAUUCCCUUAUCCGUUAGGACUGAAUCCCAAGGGACUCUUCGUACCAGCGUCCUCAACAGUUCAAAGUGUGCCCUCCAGAAGUCUGGGCAGUUUUGCUGCCUCCCCCUCCUGACUUCACCAAGAAUUGAGAACUCCACCAUUUUGUAGUCACUCUGUUCAAGAGAGCUCCUGACCUCCACAUCUCCCACCAGUCCAUAUCUACAUAUUAAUUUAAUAUGAGAAAUCCAAUUAAUCUUCUUGUCCACACACUGCAUAAUACAGAAAGGGCAGAAGCUUUUGACUCAUGUUGAGUGUUGAAUGUGUGCAAAGAAAAUUUAAAUUUAAAUUCUUUUUCUACUUUUCUUGAAUGCUUUUUUGAAUUACAAGACAGUUUUCAUUUUGUCAACCUUAAACACAUGAAAAUGUUGAGGAACAUCUUGGCAAGGUGGUUAUCUCUAAACCCUGCAAAUGACUGAGUCUGAAAAUGUUUAUCUUAUAUUUGAAGCUUUUCAGUAUUUUAUACUGCAGUUACUUAUUUGCUUAAGAUAGGGAUAAUGAAAAGACAUUUUCAAUAAAUGAAUACUUAAUUCUCUUACUCUCCUUUCACAAUAACAACUUCUACAAUGUAUUAAAAUUAGAAUAAUGAAAGCUUGCAAUGCUUAUGUUGAUGAAAUUCAGUGACUUUUUCCUGAAAAUAGUGUUCAGAAAAUACAAAGAAUUUCUGAAGGACCAGAGCUUAACAAAAAUUUGGAUGCCUACUGCAUACAGAACAAUGUUUGGGCAACUCCAUUCUUUGUAUGCAAACCUGUAUUUUGGAGUAGACUAAGAUUUUUCCUUCCAGUCAUAGCUCUCUCAUAUUAGUUAAUUUUAUUUAUCUAUCUAUUUAUUUAUUUUUGCAAUUAAACAUCAAAUACAGGUCUUGAAAAAAACAUUUUCCUUUUGUGAACAAACUUGGGCGCUUUAGAGGGAAGUACUGAAUGUUGAUUCUCUUAAGGUGGUGCUUCAAAUAAAAGCUACUCUCAGUUGCAUACAUACAGAUUUCAAUGAAUUGAUUUAAAAAGAAGAGGAUCAAAAUUGAAAGCAGAAUUUCAAAUUACAAUUUUAAUUUUAUGACAAUGGAGUUGUUGAGGUUAGAAUUGACAGACGCACGCAGUUGAAGAAAACUACGAUAUGCAAUUAAAAAACCACUUUUUUUGUAAAAGUUCUUUUUUGCCCUUUAUUUUUCAGACUAUUGUCUCUAAGACUAGAGCUAACUUUAUAUGUCUCUAAACUAGCAUUUAAAUCUAAGAGCUCGCAAUUCAGGAAGUCAGUGUAAUAUCACUGACAGAGCCUAGGUAGCAGGUAAGAAGGGAUCCAAUGCUAAAUGCUACUCAGGAUGACUUUGUAAUGCCUGUGUUUAUAUACUUUUGCUUUCAGCAUUACAAUCAGGAAUGAAACCUCUUGUCUGGUUAGAAAAACACUUGUAGUGUUUUUGCAUUUAAGCCUUUCUGAUGUUAAAAAGGAAUCAUGGUAGACCUGAUAAAUUCAAGCACUUCAUGUAGACAAUUGUGUGUGUUUUAAAAUAACAGUUUUAUGAUUUUCUUUAAAGGCACUCCCUCUGAUUCCCACAUUCUUGCAUUUAGUUCUCUGCCCUCUCCAUCUUCCAGAGACAACUGUGGGUAGUGAUUUGCUCCACAAAAAGGAUCGAUGAAAUGAAUGUGGCUAAAAUAAAUCUCCAAAAUAAUUCCCUGGAGGAAGGACAGUCUCUGGAGCCAGACCUGCCUGCAGCUCAGGCUGAGGGUUGAUUUUAGAGAGAAGUUUUAGCAGACAUAGACCACUUUCCUUGGGUUUCUAGUGAUGGAGUAAGCAACCAGCAUUGCCAGCACUGGCCUAGCCUUGCGUACUGCUACACCAUUGGGCUUUGACAGAGUGGGCAUGUUCUCCGAAGAUUUUGUUUUGCCAGUUGCAAGAUACUCAAAGGACAGGUUGAAGGACAGUAACUGAUGAGCUGAAUAUACUGCUGCACUUCUUAAGGACUCCACGGAGGACCACAGAGGCGGACUUUAAAGAUGGAAGCAGGCAAAUAUGUCCUAGGAAGUGAGCUCACCUGAGCUGAACUGCGGUAACUGGCCAAAUGGCCGCUCCUUACCAAAGCACUCACCUGUGGCAAGAUCUUUCAUCACAAUGCCUUGGCAGAGGCCUCCAUAAGAAAUGUCUCCCAAAAGUAGAUGGUAGUUAAAGCAUUGUGAAGCAGUGAAGAGGGUGUUUAUGGAAAAUCAAAUCAGGGCUUUACUGGAUCAAAAUGUGUCUGAAGAGCCACCAAGGCAUCUGAGAAUUUCUCUCCUGGUCUUUACCUACCUCCGCAGUUGAUCCAUCUAUUAAGAAACAGAUUUGUUCAUGGCUGGACUCCAGGCAUUUUCUGAUUACAGAUCAUCUGAGAUCCAAGGAGAGCUGUGGAGAUGAAGCAGAGAAAUCUGGCAAUAGUGUGUCAUCACAGAUGAAAGAACUGCUAUUUGCUUUGGUGCCAUACGAAAUCUCAACACAGACUACAAAAGCAUUUCUUCUCCGGAAUUCAUCAAAGCUUUUGGAAGAAACAAAUAAGUCAGAGGACACUACUGAACAAGGUGAAACGUAGUAGUCAGACCAAUCACAGCGCAGACUGAGAUGGAAGAAGUGAGAUGCUGACAUGCUUUUACUUGGUAUGGAAUGGAUUUAAAAUAAGCAUUUACCUACUGUCAAGCUUGAAAGUGAAGCUGAAGAAGAAAUUAGCUGAAGAAGUUCCAGUGCUAGGCUGCUAUGAAAACAGAAGACUUUAAAAAAAAUUGAGAACCUUUUGUACCAAUACUGGAGUAGCACAAUCCUGCUGGUGUUGGGACUGCAGGAGGCACAGUGUGCUCGGCUCAGAAGCAGCACCAAUCACAUCUCCUGUCAACAAAGCAACUUGCUUCACGGAAACAGGGCAAUGAAAACAUCCAACAGACUUCAUAUUUUAUCCAUAUGUAUAAAUGGGGAAACAAGACAGAACCUGAGAGACAUAUGGAUGAACUGCACGCAUGCAUACUCACGUUAUGUUUCACAUGCAAAAAACACAUACUUCAUAUAUUGACAUGAAAUGGCAUCUGCAAUCUGUAUUUGAUGCUUAUUGGUUGUUUUCAUCUUAAUGAUUCUAUGAUUCUACCAUCCUGUCCUCUCUCCUCUGACUCCAUGCUGAAGAGACUCUGAUCUCCUCUCCUAUGGAAAUCACCUCAUAUUCUUGAUGAUCUUACUGCCUUUCUCCACAUCUUCUGUAGUUCCAGACGACAGAUUUAUGGAGAUGAGAAGAACUUGAAAUGAAAGCAAUGCUCCAAAUGUGGGUUUCUCACAGAUUCUAUGCAGUGGUUUGUAGCACUGUUCGACCUAUGUUGCUGGGUGGUCUAUUUCUCUUGUAAUAAUUUCUGGUGUUUAUCACUGAAAGUCUUCUUCCAUAACAUUUGUCCAAGCUACCCAAACUGCUCCUUCAGUAACCAGAUCAGUUCUUGGCUCUUAUUAAGACAUGAUUCCUAUUUCUGGUGUGCUUGGGAAAAAAAAAAGUCCGUUAUUGUUUUGCUUGUUACCUUGCCUUUAUAUCUAAUCCUACCACAAUUUAUGCCCCACUUCUACCUUCCUCCUACAGAUUUCACUCCUACAAUUUAAUGACUAUGUUUUUAAUUCCCGAGAGUCUCAUUUACUCCUGUUCAGCAAUGCUAGCUUCUUUUUCCAAGUGUAGAAGUAGAAUGACACUCUUUUUAAUUGAUUUAGAUUUACGUUGUUACUAAGUAUCACACAGAAACAUACCACAAGACUCCAUGACACCAUUAAGCAUUUUAGCCUACAACUAAUCCUUUUACUUAACCUUUCAAAUUGAGAAACACUGUGGUGGAUAUUCUGCAUGACAUCUCUUUACUAGAAAAGAACUCUUGCAUUUCCUUGCUGGUCUUCCCAUCACUGUAUGCUGUGUGUGUACUUGCAGUGCCUCAGUAGCACUGUAAUACUACGUAAUUAGUUUGUCCCUUCAGAGAGGAUCACAAGGACAAACACUGAAUAUAUGAAUAAAACUAUUUAAGUAUCAGAGCUGCAUACUCACAAAAAUGUGCAUAGAAGAGAGAUACUACAACUGAAAAUGAUUCCUUCCUCAGCAAUGCAUACUAAAAGAUCUUCUGCCUGUCAGGAAUCUGCUUCUCCUCAAAAGGACUGGUCAACAUGUCCACCCACUUCUAAUGCUGUCUGUUUCCUCCUUCCUGCUUUGGACUCAUCCAGACUUACUUGGAAUAAAAUCUGCCCCUUGAUGAGAAUUCCAUGGCAGCACUGAACUGAGUGAAAACUGCUACAGGGAUGGCAGCCCCUGAAAGCUAUGGCAAUGCUGAUGCAAAAUGCUGCUACUGAAGAAUCAUAAAGGUUGGAAAAGACCUCUAAGAUCAUGUAGUCCAACCAUCAGCUUGGAAUAGAACAUAAAACACAAAUUCAGAAGUUACAACCACCAUGCCACUAAACCAUGUCCAUCAGUGCCACAUCUACACAUUUUUUGAACAUGUUCAGGAACUCUACCAUUUCCCUGCGCAGACUGUUCCAAUAUUCCAUCACUCUUUCUUAGAAGAAAUUUUUCCUAAUAUCCAACUUGAACCUCCCCUUGUGUAACUAAAGGCCAUUAUCUCUUGUCCUUUCGCUGUUACCUCACAGAAUCCACUUAAAACAUAUUUUAAUGGUGAAGGUAUUUUUACCUAAUUCCACAUAAAACUGAGAACAGAAUAAAAGCAAAGAUUGAGUAAAUAUAUAAAAUAUAUAGAAUAAAAUAUGAGUCUAAAUAAUGCAGCCCAAAUGCACCAUCACUCUUCUCACCCACAGAGCACAGUAACAGUACAAAAUUAGCAGAGAAAAAACAGAAUUAGUUUUAAUGAGAAUCUUUAACCAUUUAGAAACAGAAACCAGGACUUCAUUUAAAUCAAGAAAUUGAAAGCAAUCACAUUUAAGCUGUUGAGCUCUAGCCCCGCUUUUUCUAUCAGUCACUGUGUUAUGCAUUUCCCUCUUUAUUUUCUGUCAUAUACAAUCUCCUGUGACUAUGGAAACAUCCAGUUCCUAUCAUCUGUAUUUAUGUGCUAAGAUAUCACAGCUAGAAGCAUACCGAUUUACUCAAUUUUGAGUGAAACUAUUUUGGAAAAUAACCCCUUAAAAUGUCACACCAUCAAAGCUUAAAAAGUUUUUGCCAUUGACUUCAAAGGGCACACAGAAAUUUUGGGCAGAAAGGUGUGCUGUGAACAUGAUAAAAAUAAGUAUCUUCUUAGUCUAAAGGUUUCUAACUUUUCUGCUUCUUUUCAUUGAAAUAAACAAAUGUAACUCAAA
Molecule: long non-coding RNA, 10563 nt
Organism: Gallus gallus (chicken)
Lineage: Eukaryota; Metazoa; Chordata; Aves; Galliformes; Phasianidae
Exons: 8
Source: RefSeq, a predicted model, not a curated record